CUCAGCAGCAAAUCACACUUCGUUGUUGGCUCUUUGCUCUUGGCCGUGUCACUCGGCGCAUGACGACACGGCAUACAUAAACGUACUCUAUCGCAGUAACGCAGGCAAAUACUCUAUAGGCAACUCAAAAUCCCACAAGCCUUCAUUCUUCGAAUCCAUUUCAUCCGCCGAAGGCUGCUGCUCUCCCAGGGCUACAAAUCUGACGCGAGUCUUGAUCAUAUCCACCGCUGCGUCAAUCUUAUGCAAGACAACCCUCUUCAAUAAAUCGUCUGCCUGUCCUGAUCCUUCGGAGAUCCAUCUAUUUGCCUGCUCACUCAAGUCUUCCAGAAUCUCUCUCAUGAGAUGUUCUUUCUCUGACGAUGUUUGUCCAUGGAAAGUCACAUUUAUCGCUUUUGGACCAUACAGGAACUUGGACAUACCCCAUUCAUCCUUCAGGAUCAAAGAUGAGGAUGCCGGGAAAGAUCUGCUCCUGUUUUGAACAUGGAACAUGACCGGCAACAUGAUGUUGCGCAGACCUACAAAGGUGUCCAGUUGGAGAAAGCAAGGCUUUAUCGUGGACGCUCCUUCAAGGGGCAUCAUUCCGCCAAAGUCCAUGGACUGCACGAUACCAUAGCCUACAUCAUAUUGAAAAUCCAUAGCCGACUCCUCAUCAAUUCGGUAAUCGAUUUCGCCUUUUACUUUGAACUUUUGAUGGAGAUGAUACUUACUCAAAGCGAUGCUGCAGAGCAUCAAAAGGACGUUAAAAGUUGUCUCAUCGAACGAAUCGUUAACUGGACCCGUAGAGUCGUACCAAUGAUAUUGGUGCUUGUUGACAAAUCUGACUGUCAGAGCGUCGGCUGCUCGGAACAAUCUCGCGAAAGCGUCAUUGAGUUUAUGCGACUCUUUGUUAGCCUCGUACUUUUCAUGUAUGAGAUCUUGCGACACAUUCAUAAUCUUCCUAUCCCGCUUGAUUGGCGCGUCAGGGGGUAAAUGAGGGGUUGACACAUUGGACAUUGCAAGGCGCAGAGCAGCUGAGUUCACUGUACUCUUUUUGAGACCAGGUCGGAAGGUUGAGGGUAGACCACUUUAUUCAAAUGUUCCGCCCAUCUCAAUCCCAGGUACUUAACCCGACAAACAGCCGCUUCAGCCCGCUGGAAGGUUGAAGUAAGUUCAUUCUGUGUCUGAAGCUCAUUUUCAUCAGGCUCUGGCGUGAAUAUGGUAAAGUCCAUGACAAACCCCACCACUGUCUUCCGCCUCGAUACACAGACACGAACAUACUCUUCAGAGAUAUCGGCGCCUGUAGGGGAGAACAUGCGCGAGAUGAUAAAUGCUUGCCCAAUAUACCUCAACCACCUGAUCAAAUCAUCUUGAUGCGCCCCGAUAGCGACUCUCCAAUUUAAUGGAAACAUUUCGGGUAAGUGCUUGGCUUUGUAGGAAGUGGUCGCUCGGUAGUACGGGAUGAAGAACCCUGCCAUGAAUGACACCGCUUUACCCUUUUGGAGUUGUCGUCCUGUCCAUUCCCUUACCAUGCUUCUGAUUUCAGCCGCCGACAUCUUCUUCCAGUCGUAGAAUUUGAGAUCUUCACGAAGUAUCUCAAGGUCAAACCCACAGUCCAUGAGUAAUUUGACGAUCUGAUUGAGUCGGGCUUGGGCUUUACCAGGAACAGAAAGUUUUUGGUCGUCGGUCGGCGGGGCUGAAUACUCUUCGAUGAUCUUGACAAUGUCGAUUUGCUUUUCCACCACAAAUUGGCGGAGAACAUCACUAAUGACCUCUGGUAUGGUGCCGGCCCCAUCGAGCCAGCGAUCUUUUAGCGCUAUUGCGAGUACAUCUUUCCUCAGUCUCGGAUCAAGCAAAUCGAGCGAAGCGAGGUAUUCUGCCC
Molecule: small RNA, 1858 nt
Filed under: Cryptococcus neoformans H99
Lineage: Eukaryota; Fungi; Basidiomycota; Tremellomycetes; Tremellales; Cryptococcaceae
Description: Cryptococcus neoformans var. grubii H99 hypothetical RNA
Source: RNAcentral